RNAcentral lists this ribosomal RNA (493 nucleotides) under uncultured bacterium. RNAcentral's name for it is "partial 16S ribosomal RNA". It matches the Rfam family "Bacterial small subunit ribosomal RNA", at positions 29 to 507 of the family's 1533-position model. The record is from RNAcentral.
ACGAACGCUGGCGGCGUGCUUAACACAUGCAAGUCGAACGGUGAAGCGCCUUCCGUUUUGGUGGGUGUGGAGGAGUGGCGAACGGGUGAGUAACACGUGAGUAACCUGCCCCCUUCUGCUGGAUAACCGCAUGAAAGUGUGGCUAAUACGGGAUAUUCUGGGUCUGUCGCAUGAUGGGUCUGGGAAAGAGAGUGUUUCGGUGGGGGAUGGGCUCGCGGCCUAUCAGCUGGUUGGUGGGGUGAGGGCCUACCAAGGCGGUGACGGUUAGCCGGCCUGAGAGGGUGGGCGGUCACACUGGGCCUGAGACACGGCCCAGACUCGUACGGGAGGCAGCAGUGGGGAAUAUUGCACAAUGGGCGCCAGCCUGAUGCAGCGACGCCGCGUGAGGGAUGGAGGCCUUCGGGUUGUGAACCUCUUUCGCCAGUGAAGCAGGCCUGCCUCGUUUGUGGGUGGGUUGACGGUAGCUGGAUAAGAAGCGCCGGCUAACUACGUG